UACAGAGGUCUCGAGCGUUAGGCGGAAUCACUGGGCUUAAAGCGUGUGUAGGUGGCUGCCUAAGUACCUUGUGAAAUCCCACAGCUUAACUGUGGAACUGCUUGGUAUACUGGGUGUCUUGAGUCACUCAGGGGCGAGCGGAACAAAUGGUGGAGCGGUGAAAUGCGUAGAUAUCAUUUGGAACGCCAAUGGUGAAAACAGCUCGCUGGGGGUGCACUGACACUGAGACACGAAAGCCAGGGGAGCGAACGGG
Molecule: ribosomal RNA, 253 nt
Filed under: uncultured bacterium
Lineage: Bacteria
Description: partial 16S ribosomal RNA
Rfam family: Bacterial small subunit ribosomal RNA
Source: RNAcentral